CUCACACAGAGUUCAGGGCAAGUAUGUCGUGCUCAGUGCCAAAAAAGGUUGACUCAACAACUUUCGACUCAACACAGUGAUGCUCAAGAAAUCAUGUCCUGCUUACUCUAAUCCACAUACGUCCCUGUUACAUGCUGAACUCACAGUUUUCAAAGGGACCACAUAGAAAGUAGUUCUGAUAUGAGCCACUGGCAGGCCUGUCAAGCUUUGGAUUUAUCCACAUGCUAAAGCAGUGUGAACUGGGCUGUAGGACUUGGUAAGCAAAGAGUUUGGAGGUUAGUAUCUUUAUCACCUUUCUAAAACUAUAAACACAACAGAAAUAAUGUAAGGAAGGAAUUAAACAGUGUUUAUCUGCUCAAA
Long non-coding RNA from Micropterus dolomieu (smallmouth bass), 360 nucleotides. RefSeq lists it as uncharacterized. Lineage: Eukaryota; Metazoa; Chordata; Actinopteri; Centrarchiformes; Centrarchidae. The record is from RefSeq and is a predicted model, not a curated record. The transcript has 2 exons.